Long non-coding RNA from Esox lucius (northern pike), 633 nucleotides. NCBI's taxonomy places the organism in Eukaryota, Metazoa, Chordata, Actinopteri, Esociformes, Esocidae. The record is from Ensembl.
ACCGAUUAACAAAUGCCAAAAUGAUUAGUUUUUGUGUAUCACUAGCCAAACAAUAUACAUACAAAAUCAUGAUGUAUCUCAAGCAAAUGGUUUUGUCUUAACUAGGAAUGCGCUGGUCCGAUACCACCGAAAAAUACGGGAAUCAGGUAUACCGGCAACAGCGAGUCAAUAUUGUAAUGAUCUGAUACCACGAACCAGAUUGUAAUAACAGUGUGCGGAAAACACGUGAUUCUGUCACUCACAGUGGCAGAGUACCUAUGAUAAAAUGAUUACAGACUUCUACAUGCUUUUGUCAUACUAUUGGUCGGAGCCCUGGUGCACUACAGGGAAUAGGGCACCAUUUGUAACACACUCCGUCCAGAGAUCCCCAGGAACCAGAGGAGAGGGGGGCGAUGCUGCUGCAUCCCAGGGCAAGGCCUUUCAUCUGGAAGUAUUUUAGAAGUCUAUUUUGGUAUCCCGACCCUCGCCAGCCAACCUGACCGCCUCUCUGGAUUAUUCCCAACGUACUGCGGCUUCUGAUCUGCAUUCAUACCCAGUUAUCAACCUUCUUACUUCAUUCCAGGCUGUCCCUUUAUAUACCUUUGCUACUCCCUCAUAAAGGUCCUGCACUCUGAGCUUGGAUCCAUCCCCCCA